AACAGGAUUAGAUACCCUGGUAGUCCAUGCCGUAAACGAUGAGUGCUAGGUGUUGGAGGGUUUCCGCCCUUCAGUGCCGCAGCUAACGCAUUAAGCACUCCGCCUGGGGAGUACGACCGCAAGGUUGAAACCCAAAGGAAUUGACGGGGGCCCGCACAAGCGGUGGAGCAUGUGGUUUAAUUCGAAGCUACGCGAAGAACCUUACCAGGUCUUGACAUCUUGCGCUAACCUAAGAGAUUAGGCGUUCCCUUCGGGGACGCAAUGACAGGUGGUGCAUGGUCGUCGUCAGCUCGUGUCGUGAGAUGUUGGGUUAAGUCCCGCAACGAGCGCAACCCUUGUUACUAGUUGCCAGCAUUCAGUUGGGCACUCUAGUGAGACUGCCGGUGACAAACCGGAGGAAGGUGGGGACGACGUCAGAUCAUCAUGCCCCUUAUGACCUGGGCUACACACGUGCUACAAUGGCCGGUACAACGAGCAGCUAACCCGCGAGGGUGUGCAAAUCUCUUAAAGCCGGCCUCAGUUCGGACUGCAGUCUGCAACCCGACUGCACGAAGUCGGAAUCGCUAGUAAUCGCGGAUCAGCAUGCCGCGGUGAAUACGUUCCCGGGCCUUGUACACACCGCCCGUCACACCAUGGAAGCUUGCAAUGCCCAAAGUCAGUGGCCUAACCAUUUUGGAGGGAGCUGCCUAAGGCAGGGCAGAUGACUGGGGUGAAGUCGUAACAAGGUAACC
Molecule: ribosomal RNA, 731 nt
Filed under: uncultured bacterium
Lineage: Bacteria
Description: bacterial SSU rRNA
Rfam family: Bacterial small subunit ribosomal RNA
Source: RNAcentral